RNAcentral lists this ribosomal RNA (402 nucleotides) under uncultured bacterium. RNAcentral's name for it is "bacterial SSU rRNA". It matches the Rfam family "Bacterial small subunit ribosomal RNA", at positions 355 to 774 of the family's 1533-position model. The record is from RNAcentral.
UCGGGAAUUUUGGGCAAUGGGCGAAAGCCUGACCCAGCAACGCCGCGUGAGGGAUGAAGUAUUUCGGUAUGUAAACCUCGAAAGAAUGGGAAGAAUAAAUGACGGUACCAUUUAUAAGCUCCGGCUAACUACGUGCCAGCAGCCGCGGUAAUACGUAGGGAGCAAGCGUUGUUCGGAUUUACUGGGCGUAAAGGGCGCGUAGGCGGCGCGGUAAGUCACUUGUGAAAUCUCUGAGCUUAACUCAGAACGGCCAAGUGAUACUGCUGUGCUAGAGUGCGGAAGAGGCAACCGGAAUUCUUGGUGUAGCGGUGAAAUGCGUAGAUAUCAAGAGGAACACCUGAGGCGAAGGCGGGUUGCUGGGCCGACACUGACGCUGAUGCGCGAAAGCCAGGGGAGCAAACA